This 468-nucleotide ribosomal RNA is filed under the name uncultured bacterium. Its description in RNAcentral is "partial 16S ribosomal RNA". It matches the Rfam family "Bacterial small subunit ribosomal RNA", at positions 28 to 507 of the family's 1533-position model. The record is from RNAcentral.
GACGAACGCUGGCGGCGUGCUUAACACAUGCAAGUCGAACGGAAAGGCCCUGCUUUUGUGGGGUGCUCGAGUGGCGAACGGGUGAGUAACACGUGAGUAACCUGCCCUUGACUUUGGGAUAACUUCAGGAAACUGGGGCUAAUACCGGAUAGGAGCUCCUGCUUCAUGGUGGGGGUUGGAAAGUUUCGGCGGUUGGGGAUGGACUCGCGGCUGAUCAGCUUGUUGGUGGGGUUGUGGCUUACCAAGGCUUUGACGGGUAGCCGGCCUGAGAGGGUGACCGGCCACACUGGGACUGAGAUACGGCCCAGACUCCUACGGGAGGCAGCAGUGGGGAAGAUUGCACUAUGGGCGGAAGCCUAAUGCAGCAACGCCGCGUGCGGGAUGACGGCCUGCGGGUUGUAUACCGCUUUCGCCUGUGACGAAGCGUUAGUGACGGUAAUGGGUAAAGAAGCACCGGCUAACUACGUG